RNAcentral lists this ribosomal RNA (613 nucleotides) under Lodderomyces parapsilosis. RNAcentral describes it as "eukaryotic LSU rRNA". It matches the Rfam family "Eukaryotic large subunit ribosomal RNA", at positions 37 to 665 of the family's 3401-position model. The record is from RNAcentral. Lineage: Eukaryota; Fungi; Ascomycota; Pichiomycetes; Serinales; Debaryomycetaceae.
UGCAUAUCAAUAAGCGGAGGAAAAGAAACCAACAGGGAUUGCCUUAGUAGCGGCGAGUGAAGCGGCAAAAGCUCAAAUUUGAAAUCUGGCACUUUCAGUGUCCGAGUUGUAAUUUGAAGAAGGUAUCUUUGGGUCUGGCUCUUGUCUAUGUUUCUUGGAACAGAACGUCACAGAGGGUGAGAAUCCCGUGCGAUGAGAUGUCCCAGACCUAUGUAAAGUUCCUUCGAAGAGUCGAGUUGUUUGGGAAUGCAGCUCUAAGUGGGUGGUAAAUUCCAUCUAAAGCUAAAUAUUGGCGAGAGACCGAUAGCGAACAAGUACAGUGAUGGAAAGAUGAAAAGAACUUUGAAAAGAGAGUGAAAAAGUACGUGAAAUUGUUGAAAGGGAAGGGCUUGAGAUCAGACUUGGUAUUUUGUAUGUUACUCUCUCGGGGGUGGCCUCUACAGUUUACCGGGCCAGCAUCAGUUUGAGCGGUAGGAUAAGUGCAAAGAAAUGUGGCACUGCUUCGGUAGUGUGUUAUAGUCUUUGUCGAUACUGCCAGCUUAGACUGAGGACUGCGGCUUCGGCCUAGGAUGUUGGCAUAAUGAUCUUAAGUCGCCCGUCUUGAAACCACGGA